CAUUUGUCCCCUGCCUUGGGACGGUCCCUUGUGGUGGUUAGGAGUCUUCUGACUUCCAGCACGAGAGCAUCUGUGGCCGGCUCCUUGCUCAUCUGUUCUUGAGCCAGAGGACAGGGCUGGCACAAACAGCUCUUCUCCCUGCCUGCGCUCCUCGAUGUUGAUUCGAAGUAGUCUUCCUUUGGCCUUGGGUUUCAGAGGGAUGCGUUUCAAAACCAGAAAUAAAUGGGCUUGAAAUACUUCCCAUCAUUUUGUUUUGCGAGAUCUUGACCCUCUGAUAGUGAGAUUAGAAGAAAGAUAACAAAAUCAGCAUUCAGGCUUGGACAACUGUUGUUAAGUAGGCAGCCCACUGAAGUCAGUGCUUCUUGUUUACAAAUGAACUCAUGAAUUUUUAGAUAUUAAUGUAUGAGGGAUUGAGUAAACAACCAUUGUGCCUCUAAGGAAUGAGUCCCAGGCUGUCCUGAGCUGGAAUACUUUGUACUUUCCUGAUUGCCUUCCAAGAAUUUCAAAUUACUUUGUAACAGAAAAACAAGUCUGCUUCACCAGACGUGUGUGAGGUUCUCGGGGCAGCCUUAAUUCAUCGGCACCGGGAUGCGGUUGGUUUGGGUUUUGGGGCAUGGCUGUGUAUCUGGGCGUGGGAUGCUGAGCAUGGAGGUGUUGUAGUGAGAUGUGGAUGGCACUUAGGCCAGCUGAGCCAUAAGGAACCUAUGAAAACUUUGCUGCAGCGUGGAGGUCAAUCUGUAGCCCUGUUGGUCCCCGUUCCCAGCUUGAUGGACACGGGGACGCACCGUACACUGGCCCAUCAAUGUGGCUAGUGGGAGAGGUGAAGGGACUACUGGCAUUCACAUAGCAGGUGAGGGUGAGCAGAGUACCCUGCUCCCCUAACCCACAGCCUUUUGGGAGCAGCUGGGAUACUCUUGGGUAUGGGUACAGAGGAGCAGCCCCAGGGACCAGGUGUUGAAAGGAUGCGUGGCCAGGGACGUUCCCUGUGCUCCAGACCAUGUUAUGAACCCACGGGCUCUCCAGGCUUGCUGAAGCAUUUCAGAACACAGUGGCCCUGGCCACAGGCUUUGGUACCCAUGCAAAUUGCCCCUUAUUUCUGGCUGUCCUAUGCUCAGCAAGUGCUCUUGGGGAGCAGCCAGCCCAUUGCUUUCAACCAAAAAUAACACUUGGGACCGGAGACAGGUAUGCUUGAAUGUCCCUGCCCAUCUGGGCUGCCCCAGUGUCAUGUAACUUAUGUUUGUGCUGUCCUGUCCCACACACCAUGUGGGUGCCUUGGUGAAGCAGGCAGGAUGGGGCUCUCGCUACCUGGGUCGUGCUUGGGUUUGGUUUUAAAGCCAGCAGCCUGGAGCUGUGGAAAGAGUCAUGAAUCCGGGUUACCAAACCAUCUGCUGGCUGCAUUUUAAAAAGCAAUUAAAGCAAAACUGUUUCCAGGCCUUCUGUUUGCAAGAUGUAGUUUAAAGAGAGCUAGCCAAGCCAGGAUUUGCCUGAUCCUGCCACAGCUCCAAGUAUGAGUUAAUUUGAUCUAAUCCCCGUGCUGUGAGGUGAGGAAAUCCCCACUGAGGAAGUGUGCAGGUAAGCAGGGCUGUUGGCACAGGGGUUUCUGUAACAAUGAAAUCCACAAGACUGGCAUUUGGAUUAUUAUUUUUAUUGCUUCUAAUCAGAAAUUGUUACACAGGGCUUAAAGAAACAAAUAAUAGGAUGCAAGAACCCUUCUGCAAGGUGGAGGAUGAUGAGUGUUGCUUGAAGGUAAUGGCAUCGAGAUGCCCUUGCAAAGAUGCUCCUGUGCUUGGCUUUGGAGACUUGCAGGAGGCAACCAUGGAACCUGGACCAUGCAUCCAAUAAGGAGGAGGGGAUGCUCAAUGCUCCUGUGAUCUCAAGCCUCUUGGCCAUGCCUCCUGUGGGACACAGAAGCUGUUUCCCUAUGGGAACAGUUUGCCCUGGUGCUUGUUGGCAAUUGUGCUGAACCUCUUGUGACUGCACCUUUGGUGCUUUGGGUGUAAGGCAGAGACAAGUGAGGUCUGAUGUUGUGGAGCUCACGCUUGGACCAAAGCAUCUCCUUUUUCUAGCAGGAGAAGGUGGCGAGCUUCCGUGCUAGGUCUUGAUGGAGGCUGGGGUGGCGUGAUGGUGGCUUGUGGUGUGGGGUCGAGUGUAAGGACCAUGAGGUUUGAGCAUCGCUAAUGGGCACGACCAGCUGAACUUAGCGUGAGAAGGGGAGGAUAACCCCAAUAAGCUCACAACAGGGGGGUCAUUCCUGGGGUGUGGGGAGAGAUGCUUCUUGGUUUAGAAGAAAAGAAGAAAAAAGCCCCGAGAACAGCACUGAGCUGAGACAGCCACUUAUGCAAGAGCUGGCAGUGGGGCUGGCCGCACCGAAAGGCAGCGGGUGCCAGCAGGGCGCGAGUGGCUCUGCAUCCUCCUGUUUGCUCAGCAGCUUUCGUGUGGCGGGGGAGCUGGGUUGAGGGCACGAGAUUCCUGCACACUGAACUCCUCUGUUCCUCUCAGCAGGGUAAACAGGACAAAAAACAAAGCCCCAAGCCAGCGCCCGCCUCCAAGGUAGCCUCCUGCCAGCCACCCUGGGGUGCGCGGAGGUGAUGGGGUCACCUUCAGCCUCUCCAGGAUGAUUUCUGGAUGCUAUUUCCCUGGGUAAGUGAGUGUUGUUCCUGGUGAGGAGCGGGCAGGACAAAUGGGGCAAAGCACCCCAGCGAGUAUGGAUGUGGAUCAGCUGCCCAGCCCUGCAUCCUUGGUGAGCUGAGGAUGGGUGUUCCCAUGGUGAGCCCAGGCUGUGGGCUGUGCAGAUGCUGGUCAGGUUGAGUGUCCCCUGUGAGGGUUGUAGGUGUCCCAGCAGUGCUGAGCCCUAUUAUAGGUACCACGAGGUGCAGGGAGCGAGGAGAGGUGAGUACUGCUCCUCUCUGCAAUGAGCUCUGCAUCAUUUUGCUCAGAAAGCUGCUCUUUAGCUGUAGUUCCCCUCUGGGGCAAGAUCCAAGCUCUCUUGUCCAUGUCAGUGACAGAGGGUGAUGGGGCUGACCUCAGCCCUUUCCCAACGUGGUAUUAGCUAAUCCAGCUCCCCAGCGACGCAGCUGUGGGGCUGGUCCAUUGCCAGCCCCAGCCCAUGCCAGCUCUCCUGCAUUUCCACAGAACUGUGAUUGCACCACUGCAGCCUUGCUCAGAGCAAGGUGAGAAGGAAGGAAGUUUGAAACACUAGAGAGUUUCCUUUCAAAUGGGAUUUGCAUCAAAGAAGCCCGUAUUUAGCUUGAUGCAGCUUGGUUUGCUGUAGGGCUGCCAGGAAAUGUUAAAGCAGCACGGUGGGAAGGUUGUUUUGGUGCUGCACAUCUGUCCUGUGUUGUCUGUCCUGGUCGCCCAUGGAGCCGUAUGAGAGCCGGGGUGCACUGGCCUGGAGUAGGGGAGGGAUGUGGGGGGCUGAGGAGUGACAUGCCUGAGCAGCAGCGGGUGCUGAGCUCCUCUGUACCCAUCGGGAUCUCAGGAGGAGGAGUCAAGUCUUGGGGCCGCUACCCAAACCUCUCUGCCUGGGGUUUGGUGAGAGCUGGCUUUCUCUGGGGAUUCCCACCCCAGGCUUGAUGGGUUGGAAAUACUGCAAGAGCAGCCCUUUUUUGUUGUUGUUUUUGUUUUUAUUCUCCUGAUGUUUGUGUCUUUCCACUUCCGUCCCUGGCCAAAGCAUGUGAUGCCAAGGCAAAAGAGGCAGGCACACCCAGCAGGGUAGGGGGAGGAGAGGGGUGCAAGUGCCUUUAACCCACAGGAAAAGGGAAACAGAAGGGAAAACCCAUAGCUGGCACCAAGGAGGCUUAAGCCAUGGUCUGUUCUGUCCAGACACAGGGAGUGACGUGGUGACCACCAGAAUGCAGAGCCCCAGGGCUGUGCCUCGGCACCGCAUGGGACAUCACCAGGGGUCUCAUGGCACAGACCCCCCUCCCCUUCACCCUGCUUUGAGCUGCAAUAUGGUCACAAGCUGCCUUAGCAGGAAGGGAUCAAGCAUUCAAAAGCAGCGCGGGAUCAAAGCUUUCUAAACACUCGGGGCAUUUGGCUUGGGAGGUUUUGUUCCAUCUAUUUAUAGCGGUGGGGCCAAGCGAGUUCAGAGUUGGAGGCAAACUUUUCCGAAGCUGGGGGACGUUUGGAGCGGGAGGGGGAAAGGGAACUCGGCCAGGCCCAUCUUCAACAUGCAUUGACUCCUUCCCUUAGGUAUGUGUUGCUCUCCAUGACACACUAACAACAAGCCUGCAUAGCAGAGCCUGGCUGAGGCUGCAAGGAUUGAGGCAAAAAUGUGAAUUGGCUGGGAAUGGGAACAUGAAAUAAAGAGCUUCCAAACAGCAAAGACAUGGUGUUUGAAAGUGAAAAUUGUUUCCUUACCAACGUGCUUUCACCCUUGGGUCAACAUCCUUCAAUUAUAAGUAUGCUUGUGUUGUUUUCCAGGGGAAAGCUGGUGAGGAUUCCAGGGCAAAAUAAGGCUAAGGGUAUCCUGAAGCAUAUGCUAUGUUUAUAAAUGGAGGGGAGGGAUCUUCUCAUCUACAAGAAGAAAUUUUUGUGGUGUAAUUGAAGAACAUGUUGGUUUUCUGUGCUACACCCUGUAGGCAAAAUCAGGCUUUAACUGCAAGCAAGCAAACCAAUGAGCAUACAGGUGAGAUUGUGCAAUGUCCGCGCCAUCGCCCUUGCGGGGCAUGCAGGCAAUGGCUGGGAUUUUCCUGCAUCUACCAAGUGAGUGGUGCUGGCACUGGUUAAUACUGAGGGGCUGGGGAAGUAAUCCUUCGGGGAGUGCUGCAUGAUCUCCGAUGGUUUUAGAGAGAGAAUUCUGUGAGCUGGGAGGUAGGAGCGACAGCAGUGAUACAAAGCUCGUUGGGAUAGAACACGAGGUCUUUGAGCUAGAGGAGCAAUAACAUACAAUAAAGUAGGACUUUGAUGUCUGGAGGUGGCAGAGAAGAGUCACCACCUGAAUGCUGGCAUGCAAAAGGCAGAUGCACAUUUAGAAUAUCAGGUUGGAAAAGGCCACUAAAAUCAAGUCCGACUGCCAACCCAUCACCACCAUGCCCAUUAACUAUGGCCUUCCGUGCCACAUCUAUGUAUUUCUUGGGGAUUCUCGUGGUGGUGUCUCUCCGUUGACAUUAAAACCUCCAGCUCAGGACCCACCAAGAUGUCUGCUGGAACAGAGGGUGCAGAUCUGACCGUCCUUAUUCCAGAAAAUGUCAGCUGGGGGCGAGCACAUUGCAAAUGAAGGUGCAGGAGGCAUGAGGACAGGAGGUGAUUGUCCCUCAGCUUUCCAGCUUGGCAGCGGCAGGCGCUGAGCCCAGUUUCCACCCCUGCCAGGCAGAAGAAAAUGUUCUUCUCCUAUUUGCCUCCUAAUGAUGAUGGUGACGGUGCUCCUCUUGCAUUGUGUUUGUCCUUAAUGCUGAAAGACGGUUCUUGUGCUUGGUGCUAGUGUUCCCAGCCCUUGGCUUGGGCAGGGUAUGCCAGCCAACUGGACAACCAUUCGUUCCUCUGAGAGCCUGUCUGUUCUGCAAUUAACAGACAAAAUGCCCACCACUGUGGCUGGAAAAAAAAAAGUUUUAAUUAAAAUCCUUUGGUGUUGGCCUUGACCGGACUGGAGAGUGAACAGGAGGAGGGCAGGAGGCCCAGGUCAUGUCUUGGGCCACCCCAGCAGAGCAUCCCUGAGCUGGGGCUGAACACAGGGCAGGGCCUGGGUUUUAAUUGCUUUUUUUUCUUUUUUUCCUAUUUUCCCUUGGGUGACCCAUCCAAGGGAUGGUCACAAGCAGAUAGGAUACUGCCAACCGUCCUCAGGUCCUUUGUGUCUUAAUGAAGAGCCAUGAAUAGGAGUUCACAUCACACACAAACGAAGACACCUCACCCUUUUCCCUAAUGAGUGUCACUCUUAAAGUGCUUUUGUCAUGGGCUUUGCUUGGCUUGUAGAGGUGCCUGGGGCCCUGUCUCCUAGGCUGCUGUCACCUUCCCCAUCUCCCAUGGCCAGCAGGAAGGUGACAUGGCAGACACCGUUUCAGGACCAGUAAUGUGUGUGGUUCCCCAACUCCACUGCUACAGUUUCCUUCCUCUGGGGAAAGCCCAGGAAAUUCGUGGAAGCAUCACCAAAUAAGCCUCAGGAAGCAAGAAGGGUCUCCAUGUCAUCCUGCUUGCUUACGUGAUAGCCAGCUUUCUGGGCCUUUUUCUGUUCCCUCUGCUCAGGACAGAGUGAUGGAUUUUCUGGUUCUCAUGCUAGUAAGUAAGAAAGAUUAAUCAUAUCAUCACUAAGGUUGGAAGGGACUAUUAAGAUCAUCUAGUCUAACUCCAACCCAUCCCCAUCAUGCCCACUAAGCUACGUCCCUUGUGCAGCAUGGAGUGGCCAUCCAGCACUGUGGCAAGGGAAAGGGUUUUACUUUUCAUUUGGGCUCUGGCCUGGAGAAAUCACUGGUCUUAUACAAGUUUAAAAACAAAAAUAGAUCCUCUUCUGCUGCCGUUUAAAUGCUUCUCUCUUGCCUUAGGUUGUGAUUUUGUGCUGUGCAGUCUGGGCACCGCGGGAGCUCCUCAGCCCAUGCUGGUGAAGGAGGUGACAUCAAGGCAAACCGAGAGCUUGGUGGAUGGAUUUGGGAUGGAUUGCUGCAUGGCACAGCACGAGCCCAUCCCUCAGAGCCAGGACCAUUCCCUGUCGGUGGCAAUGUCCAACCCCCAUGAGUGGGAUAUGGCACGGAGGAUGGCAGCUCAGGGCAUGGCAGCAGCAGGGGCAUCCCAGGCGUUUGGCAGCCGAACGGUGAUUUGGGCAUGCGGGGGAAGAGGAGCACAACUUUGGGCAUCCCAACACGAGGGCUGAUAUUUGGCCCCUGGCCGGGAACACGGACCACCUCGCCAAGCUGCUGUUCCCGUUUGUCAUUCAGCGCUAAGGAAAUCUGCGCCAUUCUCUGUCAUCCUCCCCAUCCCGGAGGAUAAUUGAUGCUAACGUCAUUUCAGCUCGGUCC
RNAcentral lists this long non-coding RNA (6947 nucleotides) under Gallus gallus (chicken). RNAcentral's name for it is "lncRNA (ENSGALG00010014756.1)". The record is from RNAcentral. Lineage: Eukaryota; Metazoa; Chordata; Aves; Galliformes; Phasianidae.